RNAcentral lists this transfer RNA (65 nucleotides) under Alleculinae sp. BMNH 1042437. Its description in RNAcentral is "tRNA-Ala". Lineage: Eukaryota; Metazoa; Arthropoda; Insecta; Coleoptera; Tenebrionidae. The record is from RNAcentral.
AGGAUAAUAGUUAAUUAUAACAUUUAAUUUGCAUUUAAAAGUAAUUGGUAUACCAAUUUAUCUUA